UACAGAGGGUGCAAGCGUUGUUCGGAAUUAUUGGGCGUAAAGCGCGUGUAGGCGGCUUUGCAAGUCGGGUGUGAAAGCCCUCAGCUUAACUGAGGAAGUGCGCCCGAAACUGCAGAGCUUGAGUACCGGAGAGGAUGGUGGAAUUCCCCAAGUAGAGGUGAAAUUCGUAGAUAUGGGGAGGAACACCGGUGGCGAAGGCGACCAUCUGGACGGAUACUGACGCUGAGACGCGAAAGCGUGGGGAGCGAACCGG
Molecule: ribosomal RNA, 253 nt
Filed under: uncultured bacterium
Lineage: Bacteria
Description: partial 16S ribosomal RNA
Rfam family: Bacterial small subunit ribosomal RNA
Source: RNAcentral